CGAGGUGUGAGCACUGUACCAAGACGUG
Molecule: non-coding RNA, 28 nt
Filed under: Homo sapiens (human)
Lineage: Eukaryota; Metazoa; Chordata; Mammalia; Primates; Hominidae
Source: RNAcentral